Long non-coding RNA from Stegodyphus dumicola, 763 nucleotides. RefSeq lists it as uncharacterized. The record is from RefSeq and is a predicted model, not a curated record. NCBI's taxonomy places the organism in Eukaryota, Metazoa, Arthropoda, Arachnida, Araneae, Eresidae.
UUCUUUCCAAAAUGAUCGUGGAGGAGUUCCUGGAAGUUGGAAAUGCUAAAAAAGCAGAGAGCAAAUUUUAGAAGAUUGAGUACAGUUCGAGAUUGAGAUAUGCACUAUUCAAUUCCAAAGGCUCGGUGAUUCCAACGGCUUGACAACAAAGCUAUCAAUUGAAAUUGGGAUUGUGAGGGAUCACCACUGUGGAGUGCACCAGACUACAAAUUAUUUUGCUCAGCUUGUAACUCUUCAUCUUUGUGGAUAUGUAAUCAAUUCUAAAUCAGUGGUACUGAGUGACAGUUCCUUUUCCACCAUUUGGUAUAGAUCUGUGGCCUGCAUCCUGCAUUCGUCCCACCAUGCUGUUUGACUUUGAGACCACUGCGCCAACCGUUAAAAUCUGCCUAAGACACGACUCGCUAUUUUUUAUUGCUUACUAAAAAUAUGAAAAAACAACUUGUGAAAUUUAACUAUUAUUCAUGUCUGUUAAUGUAUUCAUCCUGUUUCGAUGUAUUUAACAUUUAAUUAAUAUUUUAUGGGUCUACGAGAUUUGUAUUUUAAUAUGAAAUAUAAAGCAUAAAAUGUUUUGCAUAUGUUACUGAAAGUUUAAUUCUUUUGAUUAAGUAUGCCUAUAUCCACUAAAAUACAGCCAUCAGGUUUUAUUGUGUAAAUAUCAGUCUCAUGGUCUUGUAUUUGAGUUAUGUAGUGUGAUAUUCUGUAGCAUUCAAAUUUCUCUCUGCGUUGUUUUAAAUUAAUGUAUUAAUGCUAUUUCUAAUCAUAA